Molecule: ribosomal RNA, 499 nt
Filed under: uncultured Glomeromycotina
Lineage: Eukaryota; Fungi; Glomeromycota
Description: partial small subunit ribosomal RNA
Rfam family: Eukaryotic small subunit ribosomal RNA
Source: RNAcentral
CCAAUAGCGUAUAUUAAAGUUGCUGCAGUUAAAAAGCUCGUAGUUGAAUUUCGGGAUCAUCAUGUCGGUCGUGCCUCGGUACGUACUGGCAUUGUUGGUCUCUACCUUCUGACGAACCAUGAUGUCAUUUAUUUGGUGUCGUGGGAAAUCAGGACUGUUACUUUGAAACAAUUAGAGUGUUUAAAGCAGGCUCACGCUUGAAUACAUUAGCAUGGAAUAAUGAAAUAGGACGGUUGAUUCUAUUUUGUUGGUUUCUAGGAUCGACGUAAUGAUUAAUAGGGAUAGUUGGGGGCAUUAGUAUUCAAUUGUCAGAGGUGAAAUUCUUGGAUUUAUUGAAGACUAACUACUGCGAAAGCAUUUGCCAAGGAUGUUUUCAUUAAUCAAGAACGAAAGUUAGGGGAUCGAAGACGAUCAGAUACCGUCGUAGUCUUAACCAUAAACUAUGCCGACUAGGGAUCGGAUGAUGUUAAUUUUUUAAUGACUCAUUCGGCGCCUUACG